RNAcentral lists this long non-coding RNA (982 nucleotides) under Homo sapiens (human). RNAcentral describes it as "HSALNT0216417". The record is from RNAcentral. Lineage: Eukaryota; Metazoa; Chordata; Mammalia; Primates; Hominidae.
CUGGGUUUGUGUUUGCUCCUGGCUGUGGUCACUCAUAUUGGCUCAGAAUAAAUCCCUGCAAAACAUUCUACAGAGUUUAGUUUUUACAUUAACAUUUAUAACACGCCCCUUUCAGCCAUAGCUGAAUUUCUGUUAACAAGAGGACUGGUGGCUGAAGCCCCUAGGUAGCUGCAGGCUGGGGGCUGCAGAGGAGGCCCCCAUGUGAUUGGAGGGCUGGAACCUUCAGUCCUACCUGACCUCCAGGGAGAGGAGAGGGCUGGGGUUGAGUUAAGUACUGAUGGUCAGUAAGUUAAUCAUGCCCAUGUACAUAAUGGAAACUCCAUGAAAACCCUAAACGGAGGGGUUUGGAGAGCACAUCCACGUGUCAGGAGGGCGGUGCACCUGACUCCCUGGGGACAGAAGCCCCUGCCAUAGGGACCUGCAGACCUCACCCUAUGUACUUCUUCAUCUGACUGUCCAGUUGCAGCCUUCUAAUGAACUGGUCAAUGGAGAACAGCACAUGAAGACGGAGGCAGGGAUGGCAGAGACGUGUCCACCAGCCAGGAGCCAGACACUGCCAGCGGAUCACACGCAGCUGGGAGGGGCCCGGACCGGAUCUUUCCUCCCAACUCCCAGAAGGAACCACCCCUACUGAUACCUGGAUCUCAGACAUCUGGCCUUCAGAACUGGGAGAUAAUCAUUUCUGUUGAAGCCACCAAGGCUGUGGCACUUUGUAAACGCCUGCCCCAGGAAGCAAAUACAUAGACCUACAAAAAAAAAAAAAAAAAAAAAAAUGCUACCACAAAGCCAUCCCUUGCUGUCCUGCCUUGUUCCUUUUUCCUUUACAGCACUUCUCAUCACCUGAAAUGAGAUUAUUGAUUUGUUGAUUGCUUCCCCCAUUGCCAGGUAACUCCUACGAGGGUGGGGCUGCACAUGGCUCGCUGCUGCGUCUGCAGCGUCUAGCACAGCGCCUAUCACAUGGUGGGUAUUACAUGACUGCAAU